This 223-nucleotide ribosomal RNA is filed under the name Pseudoalteromonas sp. MSK9-3. Its description in RNAcentral is "partial 23S ribosomal RNA". It matches the Rfam family "Bacterial large subunit ribosomal RNA", at positions 1 to 220 of the family's 2925-position model. Lineage: Bacteria; Pseudomonadati; Pseudomonadota; Gammaproteobacteria; Alteromonadales; Pseudoalteromonadaceae. The record is from RNAcentral.
GUUGUAUGGUUAAGUGACUAAGCGUAUACGGUGGAUGCCUUGGCAGUUGGAGGCGAUGAAGGACGUACUAACUUGCGAUAAGCCUAGUUGAGCCAGUAAGAGGCGCUUGAGACUAGGAUUUCCGAAUGGGGAAACCCACCUGCUUUGCAGGUAUCAUAUGGUGAAUACAUAGCCAUAUGAGGCGAACGCGGAGAACUGAAACAUCUAAGUACCCGUAGGAAAA